GACGAACGCUGGCGGCGUGCUUAACACAUGCAAGUCGAACGCUGAAGCUCAGCUUUUGUUGGGUGGAUGAGUGGCGAACGGGUGAGUAACACGUGAGUAACCUGCCUCCUUCUUUGGGAUAACGCCCGGAAACGGGUGCUAAUACUGGAUAUUCACUGGUCUUCGCAUGGGGGUCGGUGGAAAGGGUUUUUCUGGUGGGGGAUGGGCUCGCGGCCUAUCAGCUUGUUGGUGGGGUGAUGGCCUACCAAGGCUUUGACGGGUAGCCGGCCUGAGAGGGUGACCGGUCACAUUGGGACUGAGAUACGGCCCAGACUCCUACGGGAGGCAGCAGUGGGGAAUAUUGCACAAUGGGCGCAAGCCUGAUGCAGCGACGCCGCGUGAGGGAUGGAGGCCUUCGGGUUGUGAACCUCUUUCGCUCAUGGUCAAGCCGCAACAAUGGUUGUGGUGAGGGUAGUGGGUAAAGAAGCGCCGGCUAACUACGUG
RNAcentral lists this ribosomal RNA (483 nucleotides) under uncultured bacterium. Its description in RNAcentral is "partial 16S ribosomal RNA". It matches the Rfam family "Bacterial small subunit ribosomal RNA", at positions 28 to 507 of the family's 1533-position model. The record is from RNAcentral.